AUGAAGAUGACAGAACAGAGACAAUAGGGAAUGAAAAAUCUUUGGAGCUUUAAUGAUGCCACUUCUUAAUUGGAGUUUUAGCCAUACAAGGAGGAACAACUAAGCUAUCAAUUAAUCAAGAGCCACAACAUAAGCGCAGGCUACGGCAGUCUGGGGAGAAUCGGGGAAGUCACCUUCGUUUCGGGUCUUCCAGGUUCGAUGAGUACGGAAAGGCUCGAUAUUUUGGACGACACGAAGCGUGCAUUGAGCUUGUUUUUGGUAAUAGCGUGUAUUGAGCUUUAGGGUCGUAGGGAAUGAGCAUAGACUGAGGAACUACAGGUCAGUCACUUCGGUCAAUGAGAUCUAUAAUGAAGGCAGAGCCUACGCCAUCGUAUUCAGUUUAGAAGCCGGGGCUUCUUUUUGACAAUAAUAAAUAAUCUUUAGACUAAAUAUCAAUUUAGGCUCAGUUAUUAAAAAAGAGAAAAUGUUAUCUAUAUUGUUAAUUGCUGUAAUAGAUCGAUUGAACAUCUAUUCAAUUAGAAAAAUUAUUAAAA
Molecule: long non-coding RNA, 533 nt
Organism: Gossypium arboreum
Lineage: Eukaryota; Viridiplantae; Streptophyta; Magnoliopsida; Malvales; Malvaceae
Exons: 2
Source: RefSeq, a predicted model, not a curated record